Molecule: transfer RNA, 71 nt
Filed under: Stegodyphus mimosarum
Lineage: Eukaryota; Metazoa; Arthropoda; Arachnida; Araneae; Eresidae
Rfam family: tRNA
About the family: Transfer RNA (tRNA) molecules are approximately 80 nucleotides in length. Their secondary structure includes four short double-helical elements and three loops (D, anti-codon, and T loops). Further hydrogen bonds mediate the characteristic L-shaped molecular structure. tRNAs have two regions of fundamental functional importance: the anti-codon, which is responsible for specific mRNA codon recognition, and the 3' end, to which the tRNAs corresponding amino acid is attached (by aminoacyl-tRNA synthetases). tRNAs cope with the degeneracy of the genetic code in two manners: having more than one tRNA (with a specific anti-codon) for a particular amino acid; and 'wobble' base-pairing, i.e. permitting non-standard base-pairing at the 3rd anti-codon position.
Source: Rfam by way of RNAcentral
GCCUUCGUGGUGUAACGGUGGCACACUCGGCACGCAUUCCAGAGAUUCAGGUUCGAAUCCCGGCGAGGGCA